This 287-nucleotide ribosomal RNA is filed under the name Blastocystis sp. Its description in RNAcentral is "partial small subunit ribosomal RNA". It matches the Rfam family "Eukaryotic small subunit ribosomal RNA", at positions 18 to 325 of the family's 1831-position model. Lineage: Eukaryota; Bigyra; Opalinata; Blastocystidae. The record is from RNAcentral.
UAGUAGUCAUACGCUCGUCUCAAAGAUUAAGCCAUGCAUGUGUAAGUAUAAAUAGUUAACUUUGAAACUGCGAAUGGCUCAUUAUAUCAGUUAUAGUUUAUUUGAUGAAGAAUACUAAUUGGAUAACCGUAGUAAUUCUAGAGCUAAUACAUGUAUAAAGUCUUGUAGACUGCAUUUAUUAGAAUGAAAACCAUAGGUUUCGGCCUAUUCGUGAGUAAUAAUAACUAAUCAUAUCGUAUGCUUAAGUAACGAUGUGUCUUUCAAGUUUCUGCCCUAUCAGCUUUCGA